Non-coding RNA from Punica granatum (pomegranate), 97 nucleotides. The record is from Rfam. NCBI's taxonomy places the organism in Eukaryota, Viridiplantae, Streptophyta, Magnoliopsida, Myrtales, Lythraceae.
GAUGCUGUGAUGAGAUGAAAGCACCAUAGGGGUGUUUGAUGGCAGUGGCGUCGCCGUGAGCCCUGAUCAUUAACGACUUCUCCUUCCACUGAGCUCC